RNAcentral lists this long non-coding RNA (1145 nucleotides) under Phoenix dactylifera (date palm). Its description in RNAcentral is "long non-coding RNA (PDAC_LNC006041)". The record is from RNAcentral. Lineage: Eukaryota; Viridiplantae; Streptophyta; Magnoliopsida; Arecales; Arecaceae.
AGGGGGCUUACCCGUGUGCGGCUGCGAGUUCGUCGGCAUCACGGGGAGCAUCCACGGACGUCACGGGAGCCGCCAGCCUCGGCUCGGCCGUGCGCGUAGGCCGCGAGCGUCGGCUGCAAACGCGAUCGAGGGCGCAGCGGGCUCGGCUGGAGGCACUGCCGGUCAUGGCCUGGCCCCUCCCAAGCUCGCCUCCUCCCUCCGUGGAGAAGAAAGGAGAAGAAAGGGGGAGGGUUGAGAAGAAUAUGAGAAGAAGAAGGGAAGAGCUGAGAGAAGAGAAGGUGAAUCGGGAACGGAAGAAGAAAAAAAAAAGGAAAAGAAGAAAGAAGAAGCGGGGAAAGGAGAAGAAAAAGAGAAGAGAGAAGAAGAAAGAAGUCGGAAGAAGUUUCUGGAGAGGAAGAGAAGAAAAGAAAAAGAAAAGGAGAGAAAGGGCGAAAAAUAAAAGAAAAGAAGGAAAAAGAAAAGAAAAGAAGAAGAAAAAAAAAGAAUAAAGAGAGGGGGUGGUUUACGGGUAUGAAUCCGAAUUUAAAAGAAGAAUAUGAUUAUUGAAUAUUAGGUUCUGCGAGGGAUUUGUGGAAUUAAUUGGAUUUGUUGUGGAUCGCGUUCGCAAGGUAAGUGAUGUAACCUCUUUACUAGAUUUAUCGGCAAACUAUGUAUAUGUUUUACGAAUUGAAUUGUUCGUGAUUUCGAAUUUAAUGCAUGGAUUAUAUGUGUAUUUUAGAAUAUUGUAUGAUUCUGAUUGGACGUAUUUGUUUCUGGUUCGAAUUGUGUUUAAUUACUCUGACAUUGUACCCUUUGGUUUGGAACAUUAAACAUAAUGUAAGAAAAGAUUAUGACUUGAAAUAGAUUCAGGCUUGUAGUCGGGCUAUGUUGAGGACCCUGCCAAUGGGGGCUAAUACAUUGGUACCGCAAGAAGAAUAGUCGGUGAUAUGACCCUACCACAGGGAACAUGUGGUCAUAGUUCCUGGCUGUUGAGUUGGAUCUCAUAAAUUGAAAGAAAUUAAAAUAUGAACAACGUUUGGUUUGACACUGUACGUUUUCUUUUAUAUAACUGGAAUAUGAAAUAGAGGACAAAAUGAACUUCGACCUGGCUAUGUUGAGGACCCUGCCAAUGGGGGCAGAUACGUUGGCAAUUGACUGUCCUAAAN